RNAcentral lists this ribosomal RNA (260 nucleotides) under uncultured Staphylococcus sp. RNAcentral describes it as "partial 16S ribosomal RNA". It matches the Rfam family "Bacterial small subunit ribosomal RNA", at positions 103 to 355 of the family's 1533-position model. The record is from RNAcentral. Lineage: Bacteria; Bacillati; Bacillota; Bacilli; Caryophanales; Staphylococcaceae.
CGGGUGAGUAACACGUGGAUAACCUACCUAUAAGACUGGGAUAACUUCGGGAAACCGGAGCUAAUACCGGAUAAUAUUUUGAACCGCAUGGUUCAAAAGUGAAAGACGGUCUUGCUGUCACUUAUAGAUGGAUCCGCGCUGCAUUAGCUAGUUGGUAAGGUAACGGCUUACCAAGGCAACGAUGCAUAGCCGACCUGAGAGGGUGAUCGGCCACACUGGAACUGAGACACGGUCCAGACUCCUACGGGAGGGCAGCAGCC